AUUUGGAUGUCUGGUCGAUCAAGAACAGGAGAGGGCGACCUCCCUCAUCCUCAAAACCCUAAAAUUCACUAAACCCACAAAUUGAAGGCUCAAUCCAAGUUGAAAUCAAAAUCUGAACAUGGAAUCGUGAUUACCUCGUCAAAAGGAGUCAUAAGUUUGACGCUAAACGAGCUAGGUGGAAGCUUGAGGACGAAGCGGGUCAAACAAAUCAAUAAGGAAAAGUAAGGCAUAGUUUGGAUGCGAGGAUAAAUCGGCCUAUGAAUUAGCGAUGCUAUGAAUUAGCGAUUAUUGAGACAAGGUAUUAAAACGGGUCAAUAUGUUGAUCCGAACCAGGUGAAUGUUAUAUGCUUCCGCAUGAAGAUCAGGCCACAAGCAAGAACCGAACACACCUCUCAAUGAAGCUUCCGCAUUCGAUCUAGUUUUCUUUUAAUAAAAGUGGAUUAUGUAAACACUUUUAACGAUGUUUUGGAUGUUGUAAACAUGUUUAAAUACUUAUGAUGUAAAAGUUUUUGUUAAGUGGCAUUUUUCAUAUAAAAUGCUUACUUUAAUGUUAUGUAAAUGUUAAAAAUUAUUAUGGGUGUUACAAGUUGGUAAUCAGAGCCCAAGGUUAAAAGAAUAAAGUGUUCGGUUCGAGGCUUGAUCGCAAAUCCGGUAAGUACAAGUAUGUUAAUGGUUUAGCGUAUUAAAGUGUUGUAAACAACACAUAGGGUUAUCGUGUAAUACACGUUACCCUAAUUAAAAUGAUUGAUAUAGUUGAUGAAAAUACGCGCGUUGACGCGUAUAGUAGAAAAAGCCUUGUAUUAUAAUACGGACGAUUAUUGAAGUUGAUAUUAUUAACUCUUGUAAAUGUUUUAGUUGAAGGACACUCGCAUCUAAAGAUAGCGGGAGUCUAACAAAUUGCGGACUUGACGGGGGAACGGUCCAAAGUACGACAAGUAGAACAUACUCACCAAUGACCUAAAUCACGUAUCGAUCGCGAACAAGGCUAAUGGCAAGAGAAGCCCGUUAGGGCAAGCAUUACCAGUUUGACGCUAAACGAGCUAGGUGGAAGCUUGAGGACGAAGCGGGUCAAACAAAUCAAUAAGGAAAAGUAAGGCAUAGUUUGGAUGCGAGGAUAAAUCGGCCUAUGAAUUAGCGAUGCUAUGAAUUAGCGAUUAUUGAGACAAGGUAUUAAAACGGGUCAAUAUGUUGAUCCGAACCAGAUGAAUGUUAUAUGCUUCCGCAUGAAGAUCAGGCCACAAGCAAGAACCGAACACACCUCUCAAUGAAGCUUCCGCAUUCGAUCUAGUUUUCUUUUAAUAAAAGUGGAUUAUGUAAACACUUUUAACGAUGUUUUGGAUGUUGUAAACAUGUUUAAAUACUUAUGAUGUAAAAGUUUUUGUUAAGUGGCAUUUUUCAUAUAAAAUGCUUACUUUAAUGUUAUGUAAAUGUUAAAAAUUAUUAUGG
Molecule: long non-coding RNA, 1446 nt
Filed under: Helianthus annuus (common sunflower)
Lineage: Eukaryota; Viridiplantae; Streptophyta; Magnoliopsida; Asterales; Asteraceae
Description: hypothetical non coding rna
Source: RNAcentral